Drosophila sechellia is the source of this 542-nucleotide long non-coding RNA. RefSeq lists it as uncharacterized. The transcript is spliced from 2 exons. The record is from RefSeq and is a predicted model, not a curated record. Lineage: Eukaryota; Metazoa; Arthropoda; Insecta; Diptera; Drosophilidae.
CACGGCGGACACUGGUCCCCGCAGCACUUAAAAAAGGGUUAAUGGCAUGCUUGCCGCAAUCACGCAUUUGCUUGCAUUUAGUCUCGCAUGCAAACUCCUUGGAGCAGGGCAACUCCUUUUCGUGCAGACCACAGCGACACUUCUUUUUGGUUCUUAUCGGGCACUGUAAGAAAGAUAUUUCAUUAGAGAGUCGGUUUGCUUAGCUGGUGACUAUCUUACGGAAAUGCAAGGUCCACGAUGACAACGCUGGGUGCAAGUGUGCUGGCCACAGGACAAAAGUUUUUGGCACGUAUCGCCACAGGUUUCCUCUGCCUCAUUACAGGGUCUUACCUGGGUCUACAGAAUUCGGUGAUCAUGAAUGAAUAUAAACUUGUAUAUAAAUAUAGCACAUACAUUCUUUCCACAUGGGCAACUCCUGACUUGCAAAGGACACUCUCCAUCGCCGCAGGGUCCUGCAUGACACACCUUCUCGCAAAUGUGCAAACCACAAGCAAACGGAGCUCCACAAACCUGAAAUAAAUUUAAAGUUGUUAUAUACUUCA